AAACCCUUCUCUGGGGAAGAGGGAAACGGGAGCUGCGGGCUGCCCGGGCAGAUGGAAACGGUCAAAUUGUUAAACAGCCGUCAUGUUACAAUAGGAACAAAUAUUCUCAUGAACCGUUGCACCAGAUAAUGUAAAGCAGACUUCUCCAUGUAUUGGGGGUGAACACUGAAGACAUUACAGUUCAAGCUGUGAAUACACUGGUAAAGUUAAUGCUGCCCAUUGUCCUGUUUUGGUGUAGCACUGAUGCAGAAAUACCUGCUCAGUGUUAUCCCUACUAUCACUGUGACACUUUCAUGCUGUCAGCCCAUCACCUGUGCACUGACUUUUGCCAGCAGUCCAUGCUUUUUCUUUGGGUUAACAGAGAGUAAUCAUUGUUUUCAACCUGUCUGAACCUAUCCUUAGCUAUGUUAAGUAUAGCUAGACAGAGACACUGAUCUUCAGUCCAGGUUUCAUCACAACUGUUAAGAAAAACCAGCAUGUAUGUGUUUGACCAUGCAGCAUAUUGCAUACUGUUUAAUAUGGACAUGGCAAGCUGCUGAUCUAGAAUUAAGAGAGAAUGAAAUAUGAAAUUUAAAAUCAGUGUUUCAAACUAUUUUAUAUCAAGUGUACCAUAGUCAUCAUAAAACAAUAGUAGUAAAUGUGUUCUAGAGAACUUAGACAUACAUUUGCUAAUUAAUUUGAAUGAAAAUUCAUUGAAAAUGGUUACUUGAAAAAUUUGAUGUGUAUUAGAAUCACUUUUAAAUUAUCUUGAAAAUGAGAAGGUACAGGCUUUUCAGACUUUUUGUGUAAUCCCAUUUAA
Molecule: long non-coding RNA, 799 nt
Organism: Corvus hawaiiensis (hawaiian crow)
Lineage: Eukaryota; Metazoa; Chordata; Aves; Passeriformes; Corvidae
Exons: 3
Source: RefSeq, a predicted model, not a curated record